UGACCCUCUAUGAGCCCCAAUACCCAUGGCGAGGUCUCUGUUUCCAGGCUCUGCUGGCACCUGCCACCUCCAAGUGCAGGGCGUCACUGGGAGAUGAUGCUCUCCCUUCCAGUGAGUAAAUACAGCCGUAGCUGCCAGCAUCCUCAGCCUUCACAGAGGAGAGAGUGAAGUUGGCCACAUACCAUUGUGGUCUUUGUUGCUCUUCAGGUCCUGACACUCCAGGCCUCAGCAGAGAGACCGUGAAUUGUUGAUUAUUAUGGUGGGUGACGCCUGGCACAGGAGGGUCACCGUCUCUCCUCCCGUGACCACAGUGCUUGGUGCUCCCCGUAAGGAGGGUUGGGCGAAAUGCCCUGGGAAGGAAAAGGAGCAGAAUCAGAAGACAGAUGGUCCUGCUGUCACUCUCAGCAAGGGAUGAGAUGCCAGCCAAAAGGCUCUUUGGAAUUCUAAUCAGGAAGCGCGUUAUGGAAAAAGAUCUUCCGGUGUGUGUAGAGAUGAGCUUCCCGGCAGUGCCUGUGUGGACAUUACGGGCCCGCCGCCAUUGGUGAGGGUAACAUUAAUUCCAUGUGGAUCAUGUGAGCCGCCGGUGGGCUCCGCCGGACCCUUCUCUUCCCUCUCCCGCCUGGCCCCAGACUGCAAGGGAGGCCAGAGGAGCGGGCGGGCGCGCACCCGGCGGGGGGAGGGCAGGAGGAGGGGUCCUGGAGCUGAGGAGCAGGGCCCCCAGUUUGUGCCUGCAGACGGAGGUGCUGCGGGACAUGGAGCCGGGGACGAGGUCACCUGCUUCUACGGGCAGCGCAGAGCUGUGCGACUGCUGCACCAGUGAGAGGAAGGGAGAAGGCGCCUUCCGCCCGCGGCCCCGACUCCCAGGACCUGUGAAAAGCAGGAGCUGAAGGAGACCGAGAGGAGGCUGCAGCGCUACUGGGAGACCCGGGGGGCCCGGCAGGGGCCCCCACCCAGGGGGAAAGCGAUAAAGGGGGAGGGGAGGGGGCUCCCGCAGCCCCCCCCCCUGGUUCUCAGGGAGGCCGCCCCGCCUCAUCUUUCUCAUGGUGCUAUAGCUCCGGUACCUCCCGGGGAGUGAGGGGAGCGGGGGCCAGCACAGCCAGCCGGGGCCCUCGGCCUCCCCACCCCGGUCCCAGGGAUUGCGGACACUGGGUGACGGGCAGUUUGCAACUGGUUUUUUAAUAAAAGUCUUCUUGUUAA
Molecule: non-coding RNA, 1197 nt
Organism: Monodelphis domestica (gray short-tailed opossum)
Lineage: Eukaryota; Metazoa; Chordata; Mammalia; Didelphimorphia; Didelphidae
Source: RefSeq, a predicted model, not a curated record